RNAcentral lists this ribosomal RNA (492 nucleotides) under uncultured bacterium. RNAcentral's name for it is "partial 16S ribosomal RNA". It matches the Rfam family "Bacterial small subunit ribosomal RNA", at positions 29 to 507 of the family's 1533-position model. The record is from RNAcentral.
AGUGAACGCUGGCGUUAGGCCUAACACAUGCAAGUCGAACGGCAGCACAGUAAUAGCUUGCUCUUACGGGUGGCGAGUGGCGGACGGGUGAGGAAUACAUCGGAAUCUACUUUUUCGUGGGGGAUAACGUAGGGAAACUUACGCUAAUACCGCAUACGACCUACGGGUGAAAGCAGGGGAUCUUCGGCCCUUGCGCGAUUGAAUGAGCCGAUGUCGGAUUAGCUAGUUGGCGGGGUAAAGGCCCACCAAGGCGACGCUCCGGAGCUGGUCUGUGAGGAUGAUCAGCCACACUGGAACUGAGACACGGUCCAGACUCCUACGGGAGGCAGCAGUGGGGAAUAUUGGACAAUGGGCGCAAGCCUGAUCCAGCCAUACCGCGUGGGUGAAGAAGGCCUUCGGGUUGUAAAGCCCUUUUGUUGGGAAAGAAAAGCAGCAGGUUAAUACCCCGCUGUUCUGACGGUACCCAAAGAAUAAGCACCGGCUAACUUCGUG